UAACGCGUGAGCAAUCUGCCUUUGGAUGGGGGAUAACAGCCGGAAACGACUGCUAAUACCGCAUGAUGCAGCGGGGUCGCAUGAUUUUGCUGCCAAAGAUUUAUCGUCCAAAGAUGAGCUCGCGUCUGAUUAGCCAGUUGGCGGGGUAACGGCCCACCAAAGCGACGAUCAGUAGCCGGACUGAGAGGUUGAACGGCCACAUUGGGACUGAGACACGGCCCGGACUCCUACGGAAGGCAGCAG
Molecule: ribosomal RNA, 243 nt
Filed under: uncultured bacterium
Lineage: Bacteria
Description: partial 16S ribosomal RNA
Rfam family: Bacterial small subunit ribosomal RNA
Source: RNAcentral